This 450-nucleotide ribosomal RNA is filed under the name uncultured prokaryote. Its description in RNAcentral is "bacterial SSU rRNA". It matches the Rfam family "Bacterial small subunit ribosomal RNA", at positions 355 to 796 of the family's 1533-position model. The record is from RNAcentral.
UGAGGAAUUUUGCGCAAUGGGGGCAACCCUGACGCAGCAACGCCGCGUGAGUGAAGAAGGCCUUUGGGUCGUAAAGCUCUGUCAACUGGGAAGAAAUUAUAGUUAUCUAAUAGGUGUCUAUAUUGACGGUACCAGUGGAGGAAGCGCCGGCUAACUCCGUGCCAGCAGCCGCGGUAACACGGGGGGCGCAAGCGUUAUUCGGAAUUAUUGGGCGUAAAGGGCGCGCAGGCGGUCUUGUCGGUCAGGUGUGAAAGCCCGGGGCUCAACCCCGGAUGGUCACUUGAAACAGCAAGACUUGAAUACUGGAGAGGAAAGCGGAAUUCCUGGUGUAGAGGUGAAAUUCGUAGAUAUCAGGAGGAACACCGAUGGCGAAGGCAGCUUUCUGGACAGAUAUUGACGCUGAGGCGCGAAGGCGUGGGUAGCGAACGGGAUUAGAUACCCCCGUAGUCC